This 253-nucleotide ribosomal RNA is filed under the name uncultured bacterium. RNAcentral's name for it is "partial 16S ribosomal RNA". It matches the Rfam family "Bacterial small subunit ribosomal RNA", at positions 524 to 776 of the family's 1533-position model. The record is from RNAcentral.
UACGGAGGAUGCAAGCGUUAUCCGGAAUGAUUGGGCGUAAAGCGUCCGCAGGUGGCUGUGUAAGUCUGCUGUUAAAGAGUGAGGCUCAACCUCAUAAAGGCAGUGGAAACUACAUGGCUAGAGUGCGUUCGGGGCAGAGGGAAUUCCUGGUGUAGCGGUGAGAUGCGUAGAGAUCAGGAAGAACACCGGUGGCGAAAGCGCUCUGCUAGGCCGCAACUGACACUCAUGGACGAAAGCUAGGGGAGCGAAUGGG